RNAcentral lists this non-coding RNA (28 nucleotides) under Mus musculus (house mouse). Lineage: Eukaryota; Metazoa; Chordata; Mammalia; Rodentia; Muridae. The record is from RNAcentral.
UAAUAGCUCCUGGCUUUGUCUACUCUAA